AUUGAACGCUGGCGGCAUGCCUAACACAUGCAAGUCGAGCGAGCGGCGGACGGGUGAGUAAUGUCUGGGAAACUGCCUGAUGGAGGGGGAUAACUUCUGGAAACGGUAGCUAAUACCGCAUACCAUCAGAUCUGCCCAGAUGGUCUUAGCUAGUAGGUGGGGUAACGGCUCACCUAGGCGACGCUCCCUAGCUGGUCUGAGAGGAUGACCAGCCACACUGGAACUGAGAAACGGUCCAGACUCCUACGGGAGGCAGCAGUGGGGAAUAUUGCACAAUGGGCGAAAGCCUGAUGCAGCAAUGCCGCGUGAGUGAAGAAGGCCUUCGGGUUGUAAAGCACGUUCAGCGGGGAGGCGGUACCUGAAGAGGAAGCACCGGCUAACUCCGUGCCAGCAGCCGCGGUAAUAC
RNAcentral lists this ribosomal RNA (406 nucleotides) under uncultured bacterium. RNAcentral's name for it is "partial 16S ribosomal RNA". It matches the Rfam family "Bacterial small subunit ribosomal RNA", at positions 30 to 526 of the family's 1533-position model. The record is from RNAcentral.